UGGGGAAUAUUGCACAAUGGGCGCAAGCCUGAUGCAGCCAUGCCGCGUGUAUGAAGAAGGCCUUCGGGUUGUAAAGUACUUUCAGCGAGGAGGAAGGCGGUAAGGUUAAUAACCUUAUCGAUUGACGUUACUCGCAGAAGAAGCACCGGCUAACUCCGUGCCAGCAGCCGCGGUAAUACGGAGGGUGCAAGCGUUAAUCGGAAUUACGGGGCGUAAAGCGCACGCAGGCGGUCUGUCAAGUCGGAUGUGAAAUCCCCGGGCUCAACCUGGGAACUGCAUUCGAAACUGGCAGGCUAGAGUCUUGUAGAGGGGGGUAGAAUUCCAGGUGUAGCGGUGAAAUGCGUAGAGAUCUGGAGGAAUACCGGUGGCGAAGGCGGCCCCCUGGACAAAGACUGACGCUCAGGUGCGAAAGCGUGGGGAGCAAACA
RNAcentral lists this ribosomal RNA (427 nucleotides) under uncultured bacterium. RNAcentral's name for it is "partial 16S ribosomal RNA". It matches the Rfam family "Bacterial small subunit ribosomal RNA", at positions 355 to 774 of the family's 1533-position model. The record is from RNAcentral.